Molecule: ribosomal RNA, 238 nt
Filed under: uncultured bacterium
Lineage: Bacteria
Description: partial 16S ribosomal RNA
Rfam family: Bacterial small subunit ribosomal RNA
Source: RNAcentral
UACGUAGGGUGCAAGCGUUAAUCGGAAUUACUGGGCGUAAAGCGUGCGCAGGCGGUGAUGUAAGACAGGUGUGAAAUCCCCGGGCUUAGCCUGGGAACUGCAUUUGUGACUGCAUAGCUAGAGUACGGUAGAGGGGGGAUGGAAUUCCGCGUGUAGCAGUGAAAAUGCGUAGAUAUGCGGAGGAACACCGAUGGCGAAGGCAAUCCCCCUGGACCUGUACUGACGCUCAUGCACGAAA